UCUCUGGAGGGCUAGUGGUUAGGGCACGGCGCUCUCACUGCUGCGUCCUGGGUUCGAGUCCCAGCCAGGGAA
This is a non-coding RNA of Pangasianodon gigas (Mekong giant catfish), 72 nucleotides long. NCBI's taxonomy places the organism in Eukaryota, Metazoa, Chordata, Actinopteri, Siluriformes, Pangasiidae. The record is from the annotation of a GenBank genome assembly.